RNAcentral lists this ribosomal RNA (482 nucleotides) under uncultured bacterium. RNAcentral describes it as "partial 16S ribosomal RNA". It matches the Rfam family "Bacterial small subunit ribosomal RNA", at positions 30 to 507 of the family's 1533-position model. The record is from RNAcentral.
AUUGAACGCUGGCGGCAUGCCUUACACAUGCAAGUCGAACGGUAACGGGCCUUCGGGUGCCGACGAGUGGCGAACGGGUGAGUAAUACAUCGGAACGUGCCCGAUCGUGAGGGAUAACGAGGCGAAAGCUUUGCUAAUACCGCAUACGAUCUACGGAUGAAAGCAGGGGACCGCAAGGCCUUGCGCGGACGGAGCGGCCGGUGGCAGAUUAGGUAGUUGGUGGGAUAAAAGCUUACCAAGCCGACGAUCUGUAGCUGGUCUGAGAGGAUGAUCAGCCACACUGGGACUGAGACACGGCCCAGACUCCUACGGGAGGCAGCAGUGGGGAAUUUUGGACAAUGGGCGCAAGCCUGAUCCAGCCAUGCCGCGUGCAGGAUGAAGGCCUUCGGGUUGUAAACUGCUUUUGUACGGAACGAAAAGCCUUCUUUUAAUACAGGAGGGUCAUGACGGUACCGUAAGAAUAAGCACCGGCUAACUACGUG